Molecule: ribosomal RNA, 497 nt
Filed under: uncultured bacterium
Lineage: Bacteria
Description: partial 16S ribosomal RNA
Rfam family: Bacterial small subunit ribosomal RNA
Source: RNAcentral
GAUGAACGCUGGCGGCGUGCCUAAUACAUGCAAGUCGAACGCUGAAGGCAGGCUCUUGCUCUUUCCGGGUGAGUUGCGGACGGGUGAGUAACGCGUAGGUAACCUGCCUGGUAGCGGGGGAUAACUAUUGGAAACGAUAGCUAAUACCGCAUAACAGUAGAUGUUGCAUGAUAUCUACUUAAAAGGUGCAAUUGCACUACUAUCAGAUGGACUUGCGUUGUAUUAGCUAGUUGGUGAGGUAACGGCUCACCAAGGCGACGAUACAUAGCCGACCUGAGAGGGUGAUCAGCCACACUGGGACGGUGACACGGCACAGACGCCUUCAGGAAGCGGCAGGAGGGAAACGUCGGCAAGAGGCGGAAAUCUGACCGAACAACGCCGCAGGAGUGAAGAAGGUUGUCGGAUCGGAAAGCACGGUUGUAAGGGAAGAACGAGUGUGAGAGUGGAAAGUUCACACUGUGACGGUACCUUACCAGAAAGCGACGGCUAACUACGUG